RNAcentral lists this ribosomal RNA (253 nucleotides) under uncultured bacterium. RNAcentral's name for it is "partial 16S ribosomal RNA". It matches the Rfam family "Bacterial small subunit ribosomal RNA", at positions 524 to 776 of the family's 1533-position model. The record is from RNAcentral.
UACGGAGGGGGUUAGCGUUGUUCGGAAUUACUGGGCGUAAAGCGCGCGUAGGCGGACCAGAAAGUUGGGGGUGAAAUCCCGGGGCUCAACCCCGGAACGGCCUCCAAAACUCCUGGUCUUGAGUUCGAGAGAGGUGAGUGGAAUUCCGAGUGUAGAGGUGAAAUUCGUAGAUAUUCGGAGGAACACCAGUGGCGAAGGCGGCUCACUGGCUCGAUACUGACGCUGAGGUGCGAAAGUGNGGGGAGCAAACAGC